GAUGAACGCUGGCGGCGCGCCUAACACAUGCAAGUCGAACGGUUAAAGCACCUUUUAGGUGUGUAUAAAGUGGCGAACGGCUGAGUAACACGUGGGCAACCUGCCCUCCUCUUGGGGAUAGCCUCGGGAAACCGAGGAUAAUACCCGAUACUUCAAUGUGGCCGCAUGACGACAUUGAGAAAGCUUUUGCGGAGAAGGAUGGGCCCGCGGCCUGUUAGCUUGUUGGUUGGGUAGAGGCCUACCUAGGCAAUGAUGGGUAGCUGGGUUGAGAGACCGACCAGCCAGAUUGGGACUGAGACUCGGCCCAGACUCCUACGGGAGGCAGAAGUGGGGAAUCUUGAACAAUGGGCGCAAGCCGGAUGCAGCGACGCCGCGUGCGGGACGAAGGCCUUCGGGUUGUAAACCGCUUUCAGCAGGGACGAGGCGAUAAGUGACGGUACCUGCAGAAGAAGCCCCGGCUAACUACGUG
This 469-nucleotide ribosomal RNA is filed under the name uncultured bacterium. RNAcentral describes it as "partial 16S ribosomal RNA". It matches the Rfam family "Bacterial small subunit ribosomal RNA", at positions 28 to 507 of the family's 1533-position model. The record is from RNAcentral.